Morus notabilis is the source of this 2114-nucleotide long non-coding RNA. RefSeq lists it as uncharacterized. The record is from RefSeq and is a predicted model, not a curated record. Lineage: Eukaryota; Viridiplantae; Streptophyta; Magnoliopsida; Rosales; Moraceae. The transcript has 4 exons.
UAAAAACUUAUCCUCUCACCCGAAGCCUCCCUCACUUCGCCGACUUACUGCUGCCGCCGACGAUCCUCAAGUUGCUGCCAAUUACCCACUUAUUGCCGCCGUUGCCGUUCCUUUCCUGACGUUCUCUGGUUCGCGUACCUCCUCAUUUUUGCUUGUUGUUUCGAGCGCCGUUCGAGGGCUUGAAAAACACAAAUUCGUGAGAGAAAAAACCAAAAUCACUUGCUUACCUUGAGAAUGGCCGAAUUUCUUGUGAAAUUUGGGUCGCCGUCUUCGGCAGUCAAGGCCUCUAUCGGGCCGUCAGAAUCCUCGAGCGCGGCUUGCUGCUCUGCUUCACGAACGGUCCGUCGCGAAGAGCUAAAAGGGGAUGACGAAGGGAUUUAUAUUGGCUGGGGCUGUCUAGGCGAUGAUUCGGCCUUUUUUGUCACGGCAGAGGAUGUAAAGUCGUGGUGGAAGGAGUAUGGGAUCCCGAAGGAGAUUAAGCUUCGAGCUUCGAACGAGGACGAGAGGGCGGAUGAGCCGAGGGACGGUUGGUUUGCCUUGUAUGAGUUUUUCUUGAUGAUUGGGAUGAAAUUCCCACUGCCAAGGUUAGGUUCCGAGGUGCCGAGGCACUUCAAGAUUGUGAUUGGGCAAUUGAUGCCUAAUUCCAUGAAUAGCAUGCUGCAGGUCACAGCCAUCAGGGAGCGACUGAAAAUGGAUUUGGAUAUCGAGGACUACCAGCCGUUGUAUUACAGAACUCUGGGUCGGCUUGCCGCUGUAUGUUUGUGAGUCGGAAGAAGAACAAAUUGAACUUCAGAGAAGUCUGAAACUUGGAUCGCGAGUGGAAGUCACGUUUUGUGAUGGCUCACGGAUGAAUUGACGAUCUGGACUGCUCGUUUACUUCUCCAACCGCGUGGGAUCGUCCGAGUGACUCACGAGCCCCCCGAGACUUGCAAUUGCUCUUUAUCCCUUUUUGAUUUUGAUGACUGACCUUUUGAUGAUUUCUUUUACAGAACUUGCAAAGAGUUUGGCUUUAAAACUCACGAUUGAGCUUGUGGCACGUCUUCAAUGAGUGAUGGCUGACAACACUACUCCUAUUCAAGUCGCCUCCUGGACCCGCUCGGCUACCGAGUUCACAUAAGCUGCCAAAACUAAGAAAAUCGGGCUAUCGAAAAAAGAGUUGGCGGCGCGGAUGAAGAAUGACAAGUCGUGGCAAGACUUUGACAUCUGGCGACGAGACUCCUGCUUCGGGUAGCUCGACUCCUUAUUCGGUUGCUCGAUUGCAUUCUCCAUUGACGGACUUCCAUCUUCUGAAAAGGAAGAGGGGUAAAGUUGAGGUCAUUCAAUUUGGAGCUCCCGGAGACUGUCGUUUCAACAUGAUCAUGCGGCUGCUUCUCGUUUUAGUGUUUCAAUGGUGACUCGAGCUGACGUUGAGUACUAUUUAAGGAGUUAGUGUUUGUGUACGCUGGCCGAGUCGUCCAGGACCAUCAGUUGGCAAUGGUGAUUGCAGCUCAAUAUAACAGCUGUCGAAAGAAAGCGGGACGAGUUGUGCGAGGAACGUGACUCGUUGAAAGAGCUAUUGAUCAAGGAGAAAGACAAGGCGAGGACCCGCGAUGAAGAGAUGUUGGAUCUCCAUGCGCAACUUGAGUCUUCUGAUAAGGUCGCUGCUAAGGACUUACAGAUCAGCGAGCUAUCAGAUUUGGCUGAUGAAUGGUACACAGACCGUUGGUCCUGCGGACAGCUCGAGUUACUUCGGCUAUUUCGAGAUUGCAAGUUGGAGAAAAAUGGCUUAAAGGCAAAAAUAAUGGAGGUUGUCGAGUACCUGGAUGAGGUGGAGGCCGCAGACUUUGCGACGCCCGAUGAUAAAGAAGAGCAGCCCGAAAGGGCGCUUGAACAUCUAGAAGAUAGGGUUAGGCACCGGAAUGAGCCACCCAGCCAAGAUAUGGAAGUUGAGGGCGCUGAGGCCGAAGAGAAGAAGAGAAGAAGUCUGGAGAUGCUGAAUGAUUCGACUUGCUCCAAUUUAUUAUUUUUUAUUGCCUUUGAUUUAGACAAUUUCCUUUAGCUGCGUUGGCUUUGAGCUUCUAGGUUGUACUCCUUUUGUUUUCAGACAUAGCUUAUUUUGCUUAAACUUUUAUGCA